AGAGUUUGAUCAUGGCUCAGAGCGAACGCUGGCGGCAUGGAUUAGGCAUGCAAGUCGUACGAGAAAGGGGCUUCGGCUCCGAGUAAAGUGGCGAAAGGGUGAGUAACGCAUGGAUAACCUGCCCUCGAGAUGGGGAUAACAGCCCGAAAGGGCCGCUAAUACCCAAUGUGGCGGACAGAUCGCAUGGUCAGUCCGUUGAAGGAGGGGAUCGCAAGACCUUCCGCUCGAGGAGGGGUCCAUGUCCUAUUAGCUAGUUGGCGGGGUAACGGCCCACCAAGGCUUCGAUGGGUAGGCGGCCUGAGAGGGUGGUCGCCCACACUGGGACUGCGACACUGCCCAGACUCCUACGGGAGGCUGCAGUCGAGAAUCAUUCCCAAUGGACGAAAGUCUGAGGAUGCGAUGCCGCGUGGAGGACGAAGGCCUUCUGGGUUGUAAACUCCAGUCUCGCGUGAAGAAAUGCAUCUGCGACAACAUCAAAGGUGCUUGACGUUAGCGCGACAGAAGCUCCGGCUAACUACGUGCCAGCAGCCGCGGUAAUACGUAGGGAGCGAGCGUUGCUCGGAAUCACUGGGCAUAAAGCGCACGUAGGCGGUUCGGCAAGUCGGGUGUGAAAUCCCCUGGCUCAACCAGGGAAUUGCAUUCGAUACUACCGGGCUCGAGGGCGGCAGAGGAGAGUGGAACUCGUGGUGGAGCGGUGAAAUGCGUAGAUAUCACGAGGAACACCGGUGGCGAAAGCGACUCUCUGGGCCGCUCCUGACGCUGAGGUGCGAAAGCCAGGGGAGCGAACGGGAUUAGAUACCCCGGUAGUCCUAGCCCUAAACGUUGGGUACUAGGUAGUAGACCAGAUAUGGGUUUACUGCCGAAGCAAAAGUGCUAAGUACCCCGCCUGGGGAGUAUGGUCGCAAGGCUGAAACUCAAAGGGAUUGACGGGGGCUCACACAAGCGGUGGAGCAUGUGGCUUAAUUCGACGCAACGCGAAGAACCUUACCCAGGCUUGAACUGCAGAUGACAUCCUACGAAAGUAGGCUUCCGCAAGGACAUCUGUAGAGGUGCUGCAUGGCUGUCGUCAGCUCGUGUCGUGAGAUGUUGGGUUAAGUCCCGCAACGAGCGCAACCCUUGUCUUCUGUUGCCAUCGGGUUAUGCCGGGCACUCUGAAGAGACUGCCGGUGACAAACCGGAGGAAGGUGGGGAUGACGUCAAGUCAGCAUGGCCUUUAUGUCUGGGGCCACACACGUGCUACAAUGGCCGGUACAAACCGUCGCGAGCCCGCAAGGGGGAGCUAAUCGGAGAAAGCCGGUCUCAGUUCGGAUUGUCGGCUGCAACUCGCCGGCAUGAAGUUGGAAUCGCUAGUAAUCGCGGAUCAGCAUACCACGGUGAAUAUGUUCCUGAGCCUUGUACACACCGCCCGUCAAGCCACGAAAGUGGGGGGCAUCCGAAGUCGCCAAGCUAACCGUAAGGAGGCAGGCGCCGAAGAUGAACUCUGCGAUUGGGAGUAAGUCGUAACAAGGUAGCC
This 1513-nucleotide ribosomal RNA is filed under the name uncultured bacterium. RNAcentral's name for it is "bacterial SSU rRNA". It matches the Rfam family "Bacterial small subunit ribosomal RNA". The record is from RNAcentral.